RNAcentral lists this long non-coding RNA (385 nucleotides) under Echeneis naucrates (live sharksucker). RNAcentral's name for it is "lncRNA (ENSENLG00000004405.1)". Lineage: Eukaryota; Metazoa; Chordata; Actinopteri; Carangiformes; Echeneidae. The record is from RNAcentral.
UAACAUUAUGCAUUUAGAGCUUUGAGGUGUCUGUACAUCUGUGCAUCCAUUUUAAAAGCUGACUAACCAUCUUCACCUCUUAUACACCAUAUUCCAGGGUGAGCAAGGCCCACCUGGCCCCCCAGGAAUAGAAGAGAUCAGAGAAUUCCCUCCAGAUUUUCUUCUACCCAAGGGCUACAAGGGAGACAAGGGUCUUCCUGGACCAUGUGGACCCAAGGGAAGAAGUUGGGAUGUAGGAAGCUUCAUACAAGACAAUAAAGGGGAGCAAGGAAUCUUUGGAUUUCCUGGAAUUCAGGUAAGUGACUUAAAUCUGAUUGUCCCUUAAUUUUACUUAUAUAUAAUAUUUUUAAUGCCAGUAUUUCUGUUCCAGGGUCUUCCGGGAAUU